UUGAACGCUGGCGGAAUGCUUUACACAUGCAAGUCGAGCGGCAGCGCGGGGGCAACCCUGGCGGCGAGCGGCGAACGGGUGAGUAAUGUAUCGGAACGUACCCUGUCGUGGGGGAUAACACAGCGAAAGCUGUGCUAAUACCGCAUACGACCUGAGGGUGAAAGCGGGGGAUCGCAAGACCUCGCGCGAUAGGAGCGGCCGAUAUCGGAUUAGCUUGUUGGUGAGGUAAAGGCUCACCAAGGCGACGAUCCGUAGCUGGUCUGAGAGGACGACCAGCCACACUGGAACUGAGACACGGUCCAGACUCCUACGGGAGGCAGCAGUGGGGAAUUUUGGACAAUGGGGGCAACCCUGAUCCAGCCAUUCCGCGUGCAGGAUGAAGGCCUUCGGGUUGUAAACUGCUUUUGUACGGAACGAAAAGACUCCUUCUAAUAAAGGGGGUCCAUGACGGUACCGUAAGAAUAAGCACCGGCUAACUACGU
This 482-nucleotide ribosomal RNA is filed under the name uncultured bacterium. RNAcentral's name for it is "bacterial SSU rRNA". It matches the Rfam family "Bacterial small subunit ribosomal RNA", at positions 30 to 506 of the family's 1533-position model. The record is from RNAcentral.